Molecule: ribosomal RNA, 397 nt
Filed under: uncultured bacterium
Lineage: Bacteria
Description: bacterial SSU rRNA
Rfam family: Bacterial small subunit ribosomal RNA
Source: RNAcentral
GACGAACGCUGGCGGCGUGCUUAACACAUGCAAGUCGAGCGGUAAGGCCCUUUCGGGGGUACACGAGCGGCGAACGGGUGAGUAACACGUGGGUGACCUGCCUUUAGCUCUGGGAUAAGCCUGGGAAACUGGGUCUAAUACCGGAUAUGACUCCGCGGUGCAUGCUGUGGGGUGGAAAGCCUUGUGCGGCUGGAGAUGGGCCCGCGGCCUAUCAGCUUGUUGGUGGGGUGAUGGCCUACCAAGGCGACGACGGGUAGCCGGCCUGAGAGGGCGACCGGCCACACUGGGACUGAGACACGGCCCAGACUCCUACGGGAGGCAGCAGUGGGGAAUCUUGCGCAAUGGGCGAAAGCCUGACGCAGCGACGCCGCGUGAGGGAUGACGGCCUGGUGUAACU